RNAcentral lists this long non-coding RNA (399 nucleotides) under Gallus gallus (chicken). The record is from RNAcentral. Lineage: Eukaryota; Metazoa; Chordata; Aves; Galliformes; Phasianidae.
CGUGCAUACAUGGUGUGCGAUAGUCCAAGACCACCAUAUUCCUCUGGAAUCUGCAUGCCAAACAGACCCAGCUCCCUCAGUCCUUUCAAAGUUUCAGGUGGGAUUUUUGCAUCUUGAUCAAUCUUCUUGGAGUCCACUUCUUCAGCGAAGAAUUUCUCUAUAGGUCCUACAAACUGGUUGAUCUCCUGUAGCUCUUCAUUGCUAAUUUCUGGGUAAGGGAAAACUUCUUCCUUGCGCAGCGCCCCCAGGAAGAGCUCCUUGGCGUACGCGGGCCGCGGCGCGGCGGUUCGCAGGCGGCGGACGGCGGCGGGGCCGGGCAGCGCGGCGCGCAGGGCGCGCACCAGCAGCCCGCUCAUGGCGACACGGACGGCCGCGGCGCGCGGCGCUGACGGCACGGCG